CCGAUACCCGCUCGUUCUUCCUUCCCCCUUUUCUUUUCCCCCCGCUUGAUACUACCUCUCUGUUCUCUUUGAGUUUGCUGCCGCCCUUCCUAAGCCGUGCUUGCUGGUGUGCUAUCGCCACCUCGCCGAGGAGAGCGUGGACGACGGGCUGCUGCUCACCAGAAUGGCACAUUUCUGACUUUGGACAUCUCAGGAAAAAGAAAUCAAUGGACAAACAAAUUUAAGAAAACAAAGUAUGUUAUUAUUAUUAUUUUGGUUGUUCUUUAUUUUUGGAUUCAGUAAGCAUGCACUCAUAAUUUGGUGAAGAUGAUGAUCUUGACAUGUAAAUGAUCUUGCGCAUGCGUGUUGAUCUAUCAUGAUCAUCUACUCAGUUCAACGCAAAGGACAAGCACACUUUCUAAAAGUGGAGAAAAUUCUGUUUCAAGGAUCGUCCAAAUACCAAAGUAUGAUGGUUUUCCAGUCAUCGGCCUAUGGCAAGGUUUUUGUCCUCGAUGGAGCACUACAACUUACAGAGAAGGAUGAAUGUUCUUACCAAGAAAUGAUGACCCACCUCCCACUUUGCUCUAUUCCUAAUCCAAACAAGGUUUGGGCUAGUCUAUUGCUGCAGUGAUGGUCCUUAAUAAAUUCCAAGAAAGGAAAGUAGAAGACACACGUAUAACUUUUCAGCUAAUGAAAUUUUGUUGACCAAACACCAUUCAUUUUGCUUGUCAUAUUUGUGGUAGUUCAAUUGAUAUGGUGAUCCUCUAUGAUUUGGUUCUUGGUGAGCUGAAAGCUGACAAAGCUCAUUCAAGUAUUUGAAUUUCAGUUAAGGCCAAUGUCUUUAUGUUGUAUGUAAUGAACACAUUUCAAAAACUCAAGUGUUAUUUGAAUAAAAUAUCUACAUUUGUGUUGGAUUGGAUUACAUGGGCAGCAAGCAUGUUGAUAUGUCUUGCAAUACAAGAUUUUGAGUUAUAUAUAUGGAAGUGUGAAGUGGAAUGAUGUGAAUUGGUAGUAAAUAUUGAAGUGAUAUGUUGGUUGGGAUUA
This is a long non-coding RNA of Carya illinoinensis, 1023 nucleotides long. RefSeq lists it as uncharacterized. NCBI's taxonomy places the organism in Eukaryota, Viridiplantae, Streptophyta, Magnoliopsida, Fagales, Juglandaceae. The transcript has 8 exons. The record is from RefSeq and is a predicted model, not a curated record.